RNAcentral lists this transfer RNA (73 nucleotides) under Ailuropoda melanoleuca (giant panda). It matches the Rfam family "tRNA". From Rfam's summary of the family: Transfer RNA (tRNA) molecules are approximately 80 nucleotides in length. Their secondary structure includes four short double-helical elements and three loops (D, anti-codon, and T loops). Further hydrogen bonds mediate the characteristic L-shaped molecular structure. tRNAs have two regions of fundamental functional importance: the anti-codon, which is responsible for specific mRNA codon recognition, and the 3' end, to which the tRNAs corresponding amino acid is attached (by aminoacyl-tRNA synthetases). tRNAs cope with the degeneracy of the genetic code in two manners: having more than one tRNA (with a specific anti-codon) for a particular amino acid; and 'wobble' base-pairing, i.e. permitting non-standard base-pairing at the 3rd anti-codon position. The record is from Rfam by way of RNAcentral. Lineage: Eukaryota; Metazoa; Chordata; Mammalia; Carnivora; Ursidae.
GUCCAGCUGGCUCAGUAGGAAGAGCGUGCAACUCUUGAUCCCGGGGUCGUGAGUUUGAGUCCCACAUUGGAUG